GAUGAAGAACGUAGCGAAAUGCGAUACUUGGUGUGAAUUGCAGAAUCCCGUGAACCAUCGAGUCUUUGAACGCAAGUUGCGCCCGAAGCCAUUAGGCCGAGGGCACGCCUGCCUGGGCGUCACACGUCGUUGCCCCCCCAUCUACUCCUUCGGGAUUGCGGGGGGCGGAUGAUGGCCUCCCGUGCGCCUCGUCGCGCGGUUGGCAUAAAUGCCAAGUCCUCGGCGACGCACGCCACGACAAUCGGUGGUUGCGAAACCUCGGUUGCCCGUCGUGUGCGGUCGUCGCGCAUCGAGGGCUCGAAAAAAUUGCCGGGUUCCGGCUCGGCUUUCAACGCGACCCCAGGUCAGGCGGGGUUACCCGCUGAAUUUAAGCAUAUCAAUAAGCGA
RNAcentral lists this unclassified non-coding RNA (387 nucleotides) under soil metagenome. RNAcentral's name for it is "partial contains 5.8S ribosomal RNA, internal transcribed spacer 2, and large subunit ribosomal RNA". The stretch from base 1 to 122 matches the Rfam family "5.8S ribosomal RNA", at positions 35 to 154 of the family's 154-position model. The record is from RNAcentral.